UCAGAAUACUGCGUACGUUGAGUAUAUAAAAAAAAUGUUCUCUUGUUUAUAAGUUUCGUCUGUGCAUGCGCCAAAAAAGGGAUAACUAGGGUGAAAUAUUGGUUCCUGCGCUCAUUCUGCUCUGACCUCUAAAAGCGACCACAUCGGUAAAUCGUAUUAUUUUAUGUAUUAAAUUUAUCUGGAAUAUACUUUUAUAGUUAUUCACACAAAUUUAUUACAGUAUCAGAAGCAUAAUAAAUGUUCGGAAUACUGCGUACGUUGAGUAUAUAAAAAAAUUUUCUCUUGUUUAUAAGUGCGUCUGCGCAUGCGCGAAAAAUGGAUAAAUAGCGUGAAAUAUUGCUUCCUGUGCUCAUUCUGCUGUGACCUCUAGAGGCGACCACAUCGGUAAAUCGUAUUAUUUUAUGUAUUAAAUUUAUCUGGAAUAUACGUUUAUAGUUAUUCACACAAAUUUAUUACAGUAUCAGAAGCAUAAGAAAUGUUCGGAAUACGGCGUACGUUGAGUAUAUAAAAAAAUUUACUCUUGUUUAUAAGUGUCGUCCCCUGAUGCGCGAAAAAAUGGAUAAAUAGCGUGAAAUAUUGCUUCCUGUGCUCAUUCUGCAGUGAUCUCUAGAGGCGGCCACAUCGGUAAAUCCUAUUAUUUUGAAUAUUAAAUUUAUCUAGAAGAUACUUUUAUAGUUAUUCACACAAAUUUAUUACAGUAUCAGAAGCAUAAUAAAUGUUCGGAAUACUGCGUACGUUGAGUAUAUAAAAAAAUUUUCUCUUGUUUAUAAGUGCGUCUGCGCAUGCGCGAAAAAUGGAUAAAUAGCGUGAAAUAUUGCUUCCUGUGCUCAUUCUGCUGUGACCUCUAGAGGCGACCACAUCGGUAAAUCGUAUUAUUUUAUGUAUUAAAUUUAUCUGGAAUAUACUUUUAUAGUUAUUCACACAAAUUUAUUACAGUAUCAGAAGCAUAAGAAAUGUUCGGAAUACGGCGUACGUUGAGUAUAUAAAAAAAUUUUCUCUUGUUUAUAAGUGCGUCUGCGCAUGCGCGAAAAAUGGAUAAAUAGCGUGAAAUAUUGCUUCCUGUGCUCAUUCUGCUGUGACCUCUAGAGGCGGCCACAUGGUAUCAGAAGUAAACUAGAGAUUCAGAAUACUGUGCAAGUUGAGUUUAUAAAAGAAUUUUCUCUUGUUUAUAAGUGCGUCUGCGCAUGCGCGAAAAAUGGAUAAAUAGCGUGAAAUAUUGCUUCCUGUGCUCAUUCUGCUGUGACCUCUAGAGGCGGCCACAUGGUAUCAGAAGUAAACUAGAGAUUCAGAAUACUGUGCAAGUUGAGUUUAUAAAAGAAUUUUCUCUGGUUUAUAAGUGUCGUCCCCUCAUGCGCAAAAAAUGGAUAAAUAGCGUCAAAUAUUGCCUCCUGUUCUCCUUCUGCUGUGACCUCUAGAGGCGGCCACAUCG
Molecule: long non-coding RNA, 1429 nt
Organism: Nasonia vitripennis (jewel wasp)
Lineage: Eukaryota; Metazoa; Arthropoda; Insecta; Hymenoptera; Pteromalidae
Exons: 3
Source: RefSeq, a predicted model, not a curated record